GAUGAACGCUGGCGGCGUGCCUAAUACAUGCAAGUCGAGCGAACAGACGAGGAGCUUGCUCCUCUGACGUUAGCGGCGGACGGGUGAGUAACACGUGGAUAACCUACCUAUAAGACUGGGAUAACUUCGGGAAACCGGAGCUAAUACCGGAUAAUAUAUUGAACCGCAUGGUUCAAUAGUGAAAGACGGUUUUGCUGUCACUUAUAGAUGGAUCCGCGCCGCAUUAGCUAGUUGGUAAGGUAACGGCUUACCAAGGCAACGAUGCGUAGCCGACCUGAGAGGGUGAGCGGCCACACUGGAACUGAGACACGGUCCAGACUCCUACGGGAGGCAGCAGUAGGGAAUCUUCCGCAAUGGGCGAAAGCCUGACGGAGCAACGCCGCGUGAGUGGUGAAGGUCUUCGGAUCGUAAAACUCUGUUAUUAGGGAAGAACAAAUGUGUAAGUAACUAUGCACGUCUUGACGGUACCUAAUCAGAAAGCCACGGCUAACUACGUG
This 497-nucleotide ribosomal RNA is filed under the name uncultured bacterium. RNAcentral's name for it is "partial 16S ribosomal RNA". It matches the Rfam family "Bacterial small subunit ribosomal RNA", at positions 28 to 507 of the family's 1533-position model. The record is from RNAcentral.